GGCCAGAUGACCGAGUGGUUAAGGUGCUAGGUUCAGGUCCUAGUCUCAUUCUAUGGGGCGUGAGUUCGAAUCUCACUCUGGUCA
Molecule: transfer RNA, 84 nt
Filed under: Auricularia subglabra TFB-10046 SS5
Lineage: Eukaryota; Fungi; Basidiomycota; Agaricomycetes; Auriculariales; Auriculariaceae
Rfam family: tRNA
About the family: Transfer RNA (tRNA) molecules are approximately 80 nucleotides in length. Their secondary structure includes four short double-helical elements and three loops (D, anti-codon, and T loops).
Source: Rfam by way of RNAcentral